Molecule: ribosomal RNA, 605 nt
Filed under: Gambierdiscus australes
Lineage: Eukaryota; Dinophyceae; Gonyaulacales; Pyrocystaceae
Description: SSU rRNA
Rfam family: Eukaryotic small subunit ribosomal RNA
Source: RNAcentral
AUGUCUCAGUUUAAGCAGCUCCAUAGCAACACUGUGCAUGGCUCAUUAAAACAGCCACAACCUGGGUCGUGGUCCUGCUACAUGGAUAUCUUCGGCAAUUCUGCAGCUAAUACAUGCACCAGCAUUCACCUGUGGUGAGUUGUGGUUGUUGCAUUCAGAAUUAAUGCAAGCUGUGCUUGAUGACCAGACGAAUCAUUACAACUGCAUGGAUUGUAGUUUGUACACUGUUGAUGCUCUAUCAAGGUUUCUGACCUAUCAGCUUCCGAUGGCAGGGUAAAGGCCUACCGUGGCAGUGACAGGUGACGGAGGAUUAGGGUUUGACUCCGGAGAGGGAGCCUGAGAAAUGGCUCCCACAUCUAAGGAAGGCAGCAGGCGCGUGAAUUGCCCAAUCCUGAGAGAGGGAGGUAGUGACAAAAAAUAGCGAUACAAGGCAUCCAUGUUUUGUAAUUGGAAUGAGGGAUCAGUAAAUGUCGUUUUGAGUACCAAUUGGAGGGCAAGUCUGGUGCCAGCAGCCGCGGUAAUUCCAGCUUCAAUAGCGUAUGUUAGAGUUGUUGCAGUUAAAAGGCUCGUAGUUGGAUUUCUGCUGGAGAUUGCUGGUCCGCCCU